Molecule: long non-coding RNA, 2295 nt
Organism: Helianthus annuus (common sunflower)
Lineage: Eukaryota; Viridiplantae; Streptophyta; Magnoliopsida; Asterales; Asteraceae
Exons: 4
Source: RefSeq, a predicted model, not a curated record
UGUGUUUGUUAAUCAAAGGUGCUGGUUCGAGCCUGCUUUCUGUCUUUUUUUUUUUCACUUUAUUUUCCCCUUCUCAAAAUAGCUACUGUCAGUCUGUCACCCAAACGAUAGGCCAGAGAAAGUUGUUGACGGUUUCAGGUCGACCACGACAGCCUCACCAACGAUAGGCCAGAGAAAGUCGAACCCCAGGCGACCAAAGACCACCACGGUGGCCAAAACGCUGGUGGUCGGCGGGUUAUUACAAGAGAUGACGACUAGGGUUUUUUUAUUGUGGUGGUGUGGGUUACAGUAGAGGCGAGGAAGACGAUGAGCGAUGAUGGUAAUAGCAGAGAUGAAGGCUUGAGGAACUAAGCAUACGGCUUAUCUUAGCGAGAUUUCCGCUUCCGGCAAGGUUUCCGGCUACCUCCAGUGCGGUGUUUGAGUCACAAUUAUUUCUUGAUGCUAGGUGAAUACAGGUCUAGGUAAAUUGUUUGGGUGUUUUGAUGUGAAUGCUUUGAACACGAGUUCGAUUCUGCAGCAACCUUUUUGCGGUGGCUGACGGUACGAGUGGCGAUUUCUUGAUGGUUGUAAAUAACUUCCUUCUCAGAUCUCACAUGUUAUCUCUCUCUCAUUCGCUCACAUCUCUCUAGUUUUGGUAUAGCACCACCGUCACCAUUGAUCUCCGCCGCCACCGCCUAGAUGACAUUACUUCCUUAUCAAUGGUAGCGGCUGAUGAAGCCUUAUGGUGGUUGUCGUGACGGUACGAGUGGCGAUGUCUUGAUGGCUGUAAAUAACUUUAUCCUUUUUCGUUCAAUGAUGGUGACCGGCGGCCUUUAAACAUUGAUGAAGAUGCUUUUAAUGUUACUGGUUUCUUGAUGGAUUUUACGGUUAUGGUUACCUGACGCCUUGAGAAAUCGAUGAUGAAACAUGGGAUGUGAAUAGAAUUUAGAAUGUUAGUUUUUGUAUGACUCUGAGAUAGUUUAGAGCCUGUGUUGGUGUUUAUUUCAUGCUUUGUGCAUGAUGGUGUUGAGUAGCCGCGCCGGCAUCGGUGCAUAACCAACAUCUUCACACCGUUUGCAACCAGUGGUUUGUGCUUGAUGUUUUUAAGGUGUCGUUGCCGGUGACAGUACCGAUAUCGACGAAUGUGGUUGUGAUGAGGUGUGAUUUUACUUGCACAUUCAUGAUAGUGGUAUGGCAUUGUUGGUGGAUGGUAGGUUUUGAACCUGCAACCACUUCUUUCGACACUUCUUUUGAGCCUAAUUUUGCGAUUAUGAUUUUCAUUUUAGUUUACUUUUUGUAGCCGUUUUCCCAGGUUUGAUUGUUGCGUAGGGGCUGGCUGUUGCUGCUUUGAUGAGGCUUAAGGUGAGUUGUUUGUGCAUUUUGUUGCGUACAGAAUAUGUAUUCUCUAAGUGAAACCGACAGUUUUCAGUUACGAGUUUGUAUGAGUUUCUAUUAUUUGUCAAUUUAGUUCAUGUAACUUCACUUCAAAUGAGAUAUUAUUGCCGAUCAAUAGACUAACAACCCUAACAUGAGAUGAUAUUCCACAACAAUAAGCAUCUCCUGUUUAGCAUAUGUGUGAUUGUGGUUGUCGUCUGAUGUGAAAUCUAGACUUUCUAAUUUGAAGAUUGUAGGAAUUUUUGUAGUGAUUUCUCAAUUGUUUUGUUCAACAAUUUACCCUCUUUCCAAAAACGUCAUUUGAUUGUUUGUAAUGGUUGAUAGAUUCAAAGCAGAUAGAUGUUUACCUUCUGAUAGGUACGGACAACAUGAAUUUCCACUUUAUUUCGUUUUUGGUUCCAGAACUUAUGCCUACCAGGUGUUUGGCGUUAUGCUCUUCAUUUUAUUUGAAGUUUAAAGUGGGUAAAUUAAUAUGUGUGAUAGGUUGAAGGAGCGGUACCGGAAGACGGACGGACGUACAGUAUUUAGGAUACUUUUGCCCAUGCAUGUAAUGCCAUUAGAUUGGAUAAUGCAUCUUUUUUGGUCCAUGCAGAACUGGUUAACUUUGUGCAAAUGUAUUUAGGGGUGUUUGGAUGUGUGUAAAGCGGUAUCAAGGUAUCCUACAAACCAACAUGAACAAACUUCUUUUAGCGCUGAUAUAUGGAUGAGUCAAACAAACUGAUAUAGCAACUUAUGACGAAUAUAACGAGGUCGUAUUUGGCAUUAGUUUACUUUAUAUUUUGGCCUCAAUUUAUUUUCGUUUUAUAAGCUAUUUUAAUAUUUUUAUGAAACUUAGUAUAAGUAGAUGUAUAAAGGGACCAGGAUUACCCUUCUAUUGAGAAUAAGAGUGAAAGACCUAACCCUUUUUAGGCUUUCUUUAGU